GCAAGAGUGAACUAGCUAACUGAAAUCAUUAUGAGUCAUUAAUUUGGUGAUUAUGAUAACAUAAGGGAAAAAAAUGAUAUUACCUUAUUAUUAGUGUUGUCCAAAACUGGUGCCAGAAGACUCGGUAAGACCAGAGACGCAAACGUUAGUCAUCUUAAUCAGGCGUAAAGGGUGUGUAGGCUGCUUUAAAAGUUUAAAUCUUUUUAAUAGCUCUUUUGCCGUUGUACUACCAUUAUUUAUUUUAUUUAUAAAUAAUAAACAAAAAUGAAUAUAAAGGUAGUACAUUUUAUAAUUUAAUUAAUUUAAUCAUUAUAAAGGGGACAAAAAAAAGAUAUCCCGGUUUAAGUAAAAAGAAUAAAAUGAAUUAAAGCUAGGAUCAAAUUGAGGAUAAACCAAAUAAUACUUAGAGUAGGGCCGAUAUCCGCAGAUACUAAGGGGAAUACUAAAGGUGAAAGCUUUUUAUCUACUAUUGAUUGACGCUGAGAAACGAAGGUGAGAAUAGGAAAUAGGAUUUGAUACCCAGAUACCUCUCACUGUCAACGAUGAAUGGUGGUUGUUAGUUUUAAUAAAAACUGGUAACGAUGUUAACACGAUAACCAUUCCGCCUUGCGAGUACGGUUGCAAAACUGAAACCAAAAAAAUUAGUCGGUUUCGAAGCAAACGAAGUGAAGCAU
This 674-nucleotide ribosomal RNA is filed under the name Tricholoma fulvocastaneum. RNAcentral describes it as "partial small subunit ribosomal RNA". It matches the Rfam family "Bacterial small subunit ribosomal RNA", at positions 377 to 940 of the family's 1533-position model. The record is from RNAcentral. Lineage: Eukaryota; Fungi; Basidiomycota; Agaricomycetes; Agaricales; Tricholomataceae.